Molecule: ribosomal RNA, 380 nt
Filed under: uncultured Anaerolineaceae bacterium
Lineage: Bacteria; Bacillati; Chloroflexota; Anaerolineae; Anaerolineales; Anaerolineaceae
Description: bacterial SSU rRNA
Rfam family: Bacterial small subunit ribosomal RNA
Source: RNAcentral
GCAAGUGGUAGGAAACCGAAAGGCGACCGACCCUUCGGGAGCUUGCACAGGUGCUGCAUGGCUGUCGUCAGCUCGUGUCGUGAGAUGUUCGGUUAAGUCCGCUAACGAGCGCAACCCUCACUGUGUGUUACAAGUGUCACACGGGACUGCCGGUUUUAAGCCGGAGGAAGGCGAGGAUGACGUCAAGUCAGCAUGGCCUUUAUGUCCUGGGCUACACACACGCUACAAUGGUCGGUACAACAGGUUGCCAAGCCGCGAGGCGGAGCCAAUCCCUAAAGCCGGCCUCAGUUCAGAUUGUAGGCUGCAACUCGCCUGCAUGAAGCUGGAGUUGCUAGUAACCGCAGGUCAGCUAUACUGCGGUGAAUACGUUCCCGGGUCUU